GACGAACGCUGGCGGCGUGCUUAACACAUGCAAGUCGAACGGAAAGGCCCUGCUUUUGUGGGGUGCUCGAGUGGCGAACGGGGGGGUAACACGUGAGUAACCUGCCCUUGACUUUGGGAUAACUUCAGUUAACUGGGGCUAAUACCGGAGAGGAGCUCCUGCUGCAUGGUGGGGGUUGGAAAGAUUCGGCGGUUGUGGAUGGAUUCGCGGCUUAUCAGCUUGUUGGUGGGGUAGUGGGUGACCAAGGCUUUGACGGGUAGCCGGCCUGGGAGGGUGACCGGCCCCAAUGGGCCUGCGAUACGGCCCAGUCUCCUACGGGAGACAGCAGUGGGGAAUCUUGCACAAUGGGCGGAAGCGUGAUGCAGAAACGCCGCGUGCGUGAUGAAGGCCUUCGGGUUGUAAACCGCUUUAGCAUGUAACGAAGCGUGAGUGACGGUACUGGGUAAAGAAGCACCGGCUAACUACGUG
Molecule: ribosomal RNA, 468 nt
Filed under: uncultured bacterium
Lineage: Bacteria
Description: partial 16S ribosomal RNA
Rfam family: Bacterial small subunit ribosomal RNA
Source: RNAcentral